Molecule: ribosomal RNA, 253 nt
Filed under: uncultured bacterium
Lineage: Bacteria
Description: partial 16S ribosomal RNA
Rfam family: Bacterial small subunit ribosomal RNA
Source: RNAcentral
UACAGGGGGUGCAAACGUUGCUCGGAAUCAUUGGGCGUAAAGCGCACGUAGGCGGUCUGUUAUGUCGGAUGUGAAAGCCCUCGGCUCAACUGAGGAAGUGCAUCCGAAACUGGCAGGCUAGAGUACUAAAGAGGGUCGCGGAAUUCCCGGUGUAGAGGUGAAAUUCGUAGAUAUCGGGAGGAACACCAGUGGCGAAGGCGACUACCUGGCCUGUUCUUGACGCUGAGGCGCGAAAGCUAGGGGAGCAAACGGG